CGUGUAGGCGGCCAAUUAAGUCAGGCGUGAAAUCUCUGGGCUUAACCCAGAAAUUGCGUUUGAAACUGGAAGGCUUGAGGAUCGGAGAGGGCAGUGGAAUUCCCAGUGUAGCGGUGAAAUGCGUAGAUAUUGGGAGGAACACCAGUGGCGAAGGCGACUGCCUGGACGACACCUGACGCUGAGGCGCGAAAGCUAGGGGAGCAAACGGGAUUAGAUACCCCGGUAGUCCUAGCCGUAAACGAUGGGUACUAGGUGUGGGAGGUAUCGACCCCUUCCGUGCCGCAGUUAACACAAUAAGUACCCCGCCUGGGGAGUACGGCCGCAAGGUUGAA
This 332-nucleotide ribosomal RNA is filed under the name uncultured bacterium. Its description in RNAcentral is "bacterial SSU rRNA". It matches the Rfam family "Bacterial small subunit ribosomal RNA", at positions 568 to 898 of the family's 1533-position model. The record is from RNAcentral.